This is a long non-coding RNA of Triplophysa dalaica, 816 nucleotides long. RefSeq lists it as uncharacterized. Lineage: Eukaryota; Metazoa; Chordata; Actinopteri; Cypriniformes; Nemacheilidae. The record is from RefSeq and is a predicted model, not a curated record. The transcript has 3 exons.
CACUUUUGGGCGCUGCGGCAUAUUAAAUGUAUAAUAAAUAGUUUUUCUGCGUGAGAAAUACAAUGUGUGGCGGGAGUGCGUGACAAAAGACCGAAAUGAGUGACUGUCACGCUCAAUGCGUGACACUUGAGAGCCCUGAUGCUGUGUAUCGUCUAAAUGCACAUUUUUUGCUCAAUAAGUGUGAUUUAAGUGAUCGCAGCCUUUGAUCGCGUUGGUUGUGAUGAAGUGUGUUUAAUUGUAAUAAGAUUGUUAUGAAAUUCAUAAUGUGCUUACUCAUGGCUCAGUGUCUACACGAGAGAGUGAGAGAAGCCAUUGCCCCGUUGAUCCACUGAUGAUCUGUUUACAGGUUAUGUGGAAAAGCCUGUGCUUGAUGGAGAUGUAAAGCAGAUGACCACAGCAUCCCAGGUCCCAAGAGGGGACUGUUUUAGUAAUUUUCUACUGGGCAAACUGAAUUACUCAAGAUUAGAAAAACCUGUGCUUGUGGAUCUACAUCAGAUGACCAUGGCAACCCAGGUGUGGAAAUAGGAGACUGUUUUUACUUUUAAAUUUGUGUUGUCUAAAAUGGACGAUUCUUCUGACACCAUAUGAAUGCAUACGGUCGUCUGGCAGAAGCUAGGUAAUUUAGAUUAUAAAGUUAUAAGUAUGGAUAUUUUUCUUACACAAACGCAUCUCUUCGCUUCAGAAGGCCUUUAUUAAAGGAUUAGUUCAUCUCAAAAUGAAAAUUACCUGAUAAUUUACUCACCCCAUGCUAUCCAAGAUGGUCAUGUCUUUCUUUCUUCAGUGAAAAUUAAGAUUUAGGAAAACAUUUCAGGAUUU